GUCCACGCAGUAAACGAUGAGUGCUAGUUAUCGGGUCUUUGGGAUUCGGUGGCGAAGCUAACGCGUUAAGCACUCCGCCUGGGGAGUACGGCCGCAAGGCUAAAACUCAAAGGAAUUGACGGGGACCCGCACAAGCAGUGGAGCAUGUGGUUUAAUUCGAUGCUACGCGAAAACCUUACCAGCUCUUGUAUCCCUACUAUGAUUUUCAGAGAUGAAUUUCUUCACUUCGGGUGGGUAGGAGACAGGUGUUGCAUGGCUGUCGU
RNAcentral lists this ribosomal RNA (263 nucleotides) under uncultured bacterium. RNAcentral describes it as "partial 16S ribosomal RNA". It matches the Rfam family "Bacterial small subunit ribosomal RNA", at positions 793 to 1055 of the family's 1533-position model. The record is from RNAcentral.